GACGAACGCUGGCGGCGUGCUUAACACAUGCAAGUCGAACGGAAAGGCCCUGCUUUUGUGGGGUGCUCGAGUGGCGAACGGGUGAGUAUCACGUGAGUAACCUGCCCUUGACUUUGGGAUAACUUCAGGAAACUGGGGCUAAUACCGGAUAGGAGCUCCUGCUGCAUGGUGGGGGUUGGAAAGUUUCGGCGGUUGGGGAUGGACUCGCGGCUUAUCAGCUUGUUGGUGGGGUAGUGGCGUACCAAGGCUUUGACGGGUAGCCGGCCUGAGAGGGUGACCGGCCACAUUGGGACUGAGGUACGGCCCAGAGUCCUACGGGGGGCAGCAGUGGGGAAUAUUGCGCAAUGGGCGGAGGCAGGAUGCAGCAACGCCGCGUGCGGGAUGACGGCCGUCGGGUUGUAAACCGCUUUCGCCUGUGACGAAGCGUGAGUGACGGUAAUGGGUAAAGAAGCACCGGCUAACUACGUG
This 468-nucleotide ribosomal RNA is filed under the name uncultured bacterium. RNAcentral describes it as "partial 16S ribosomal RNA". It matches the Rfam family "Bacterial small subunit ribosomal RNA", at positions 28 to 507 of the family's 1533-position model. The record is from RNAcentral.